AGAGUUUGAUUCUGGCUCAGGAUGAACGCUAGCGGCAGGCUUAACACAUGCAAGUCGGGCGGCAGCGGGGUGGGAGCUUGCUCCCACUGCCGGCGAGCGGCGCACGGGUGAGUAACACGUAUGCAACCUGCCCCUGUCAGGGGGACAACCCGCCGAAAGGCGGGCUAAGCCCGCGUAUAUCGCCCCGGGGCAUCCCGGGGGGAGGAAAGGAGCGAUCCGGACAGGGAUGGGCAUGCGGCGCAUUAGCUGGUCGGCGGGGUAACGGCCCACCGAGGCGACGAUGCGUAGGGGUUCUGAGAGGAAGGCCCCCCACACUGGUACUGAGACACGGACCAGACUCCUACGGGAGGCAGCAGUGAGGAAUAUUGGUCAAUGGGCGGGAGCCUGAACCAGCCAAGCCGCGUGAGGGAAGAAGGUACAGCGUAUCGUAAACCUCUUUUGUCAGGGAACAAAGGCGGGGACUAGUCCCCGGAUGAGGGUACCUGAAGAAAAAGCAUCGGCUAACUCCGUGCCAGCAGCCGCGGUAAUACGGAGGGUGCGAGCGUUAUCCGGAUUUAUUGGGUUUAAAGGGUGCGCAGGCGGCCUGUUAAGUCAGCGGUAAAAGCCCGGGGCUCAACCCCGGCGAGCCGUUGAAACUGGCGGGCUGGAGUUGGAGAGAAGUACGCGGAAUGCGCGGUGUAGCGGUGAAAUGCUUAGAUAUCGCGCAGAACCCCGAUUGCGAAGGCAGCGUACCGGCUCCACACUGACGCUGAGGCACGAAAGCGUGGGUAUCGAACAGAAUUAGAUACCCUGGUAGUCCACGCAGUAAACGAUGA
RNAcentral lists this ribosomal RNA (815 nucleotides) under uncultured bacterium. Its description in RNAcentral is "bacterial SSU rRNA". It matches the Rfam family "Bacterial small subunit ribosomal RNA", at positions 8 to 812 of the family's 1533-position model. The record is from RNAcentral.